This 305-nucleotide ribosomal RNA is filed under the name uncultured bacterium. RNAcentral describes it as "partial 16S ribosomal RNA". It matches the Rfam family "Bacterial small subunit ribosomal RNA", at positions 508 to 807 of the family's 1533-position model. The record is from RNAcentral.
ACAGCAGUAGCCGCGGUAAUACGAAGGGUGCAAGCGUUACUCGGAAUUACUGGGCGUAAAGCGUGCGUAGGUGGUGGUUUAAGUCCGUUGUGAAAGCCCUGGGCUCAACCUGGGAAUUGCAGUGGAUACUGGGUCACUAGAGUGUGGUAGAGGAUAGUGGAAUUUCCGGUGUAGCAGUGAAAUGCGUAGAGAUCUGGAGGAAUACCGGUGGCGAAGGCGGCCCCCUGGACAAAGACUGACGCUCAGGUGCGAAAGCGUGGGGAGCAAACAGGAUUAGAUACCCCCGUAGUCCCUGUCUCUUAUAC